This 330-nucleotide ribosomal RNA is filed under the name uncultured Coprococcus sp. Its description in RNAcentral is "bacterial SSU rRNA". It matches the Rfam family "Bacterial small subunit ribosomal RNA", at positions 28 to 339 of the family's 1533-position model. Lineage: Bacteria; Bacillati; Bacillota; Clostridia; Lachnospirales; Lachnospiraceae. The record is from RNAcentral.
GAUGAACGCUGGCGGCGUGCUUAACACAUGCAAGUCGAACGGAGAUCUUAUUGAAUGAGGCUUCGGCCAAGUGAUGUAUGAUCUUAGUGGCGGACGGGUGAGUAACGCGUGGAGAACCUGCCCUGUACAGGGGGAUAACAGUGGGAAACCACUGCUAAUACCGCAUAAGCGCACGGGAGCGCAUGCUCCAGUGUGAAAAACUCCGGUGGUACAGGAUGGCUCCGCGUUGGAUUAGCUGGUUGGCGGGGCAACGGCCCACCAAGGCGACGAUCCAUAGCCGGCCUGAGAGGGUGGACGGCCACAUUGGGACUGAGACACGGCCCAGACUCC